This 12666-nucleotide long non-coding RNA is filed under the name Olea europaea subsp. europaea. The record is from RNAcentral. Lineage: Eukaryota; Viridiplantae; Streptophyta; Magnoliopsida; Lamiales; Oleaceae.
GUGCCAACUACUGGACCAACCUCACGUUGAUACCAGCAGCAAGAUAACUACAGAAUCUCUCUGUACCUUUGGAAUCGCUCCAGAAAAUUUCAGAUGUAUUGAAUGGCUAAAAACUGCCUUCAUUACUAUGUUAUUCCUCCUUAAAUAACAAACCAAUAUUACAAUCUCCAUCCACCAACUAGGAAAGCAAUAAAUCAGUAAGACUAAACUAGGAAAGCAAUAAACUUGGAGAGAAUUAAACACAAUAAAAAGAACAGAAUUGCAACAAUAAGCAAUCUCCUAAAAAUCCUUUGCAUGGUUUACGGAAUUAUGGUUGAUUGCGGAAUUACGGCGCAUCUUUCUCCUGAUUUGCAUCAAUUGCCAGCUCUCCUGAAGAACUUGACUCUGGCAAGUUUUGACUAGUGUAAGCAGUAAAUAGGCGUGGAUGUAAGCGUUUGAUUUCUGAAGCUUGCAGCCAAACAUAAUCUGAAUUUGGCCUAUUUUUCACUGCACUAAGAACUUGUAAUAUCCACCUCGACGAGUUGUAACAAAUUGAUGGUCAAGAAUGGCAGCAAUCUCGUCUCGUGGUACUGCACUUUCUGGAACUCUCAAAACUGGUAAUGCGGAAAUUUCACUGGGAUCACCCUUGAACUCCGUAAGGUCUUCUAUGUUAAAAACAGGGCUAAUACGAAAAUAAGAGGGUAAGUCAAUAACAUAUGCAUUAGUGCCAAACUUCUUGGUUACUCUAAAAGGACCCGUUCGGCGUGCAUGAAGCUUGGUAAAACUCCUCAGAGGGAAACACUCCGGCCUUAAAUGAACAAGAACCAUAUCUCCUUCAUUAAAUUGUCGAUCCUUGUGUUUGGCAUUUGCUGAAGCUGCAUAAGAACUUGUAUGGAAGCUAAGGCGCUGUUUGCAUUCGUCAUGGACAUCUCGCAUAGAGUUAGAAAAUUCCAGCGCAGCCUUACUUGGCCUGGGCGGCAAUGGUAAUGAGUUAACAUCAAGUGGAGUGCUAGGUCGAAACCCAUAGACCACUUCGAAUGGAGUGCAGCCUAUUGACCUGGUAACCGAAUUAUUGAAUGCAAAUUUGGCAUGUGGAAGUACCGCAUCAUCCUGAUGCAUAACUCGAGAGAAUUGUCACAUCGUCAAAACUGGGACAGUCUCCUUUUCUGUUUCAAAUUCCGAAAUCUGUAAAGGAUCCAACACAAAUUUCUUACCUUUGAAAUUAAAAGAGUAAGUAUUAGCAUAACUGUCAUAGAGAACCCUCCGAUCAUAAAGCCACGGACGUCCCAAUAGCAUAUGGCAGAUGGUCAUAAGAAUCACGUCGCACCAGGCUUCGUCCACAUAUUUCUUUCCCAAUGAAAAUUUAACCAAGCAACGCUGCCUCACUAGGACUGAGUUGGCUUCAUUAACCCAGCUAAAUUGAUAAGGGGUGGGAUGCUUCUCGGUUUUCAGCCCCAAACGUUCAAUGGCAGCUUCGGAGAUCACAUUCAUGCUGCUGCCAUUAUCAAUAAUGACAUUCAAAGCCCGACCAUUAUGCUCCAUGCGUGUGCGAAAAAUAUUGGUCCGCAACCACUCGGGAUUAGCCUGGAGUUCUCUCUUAGUUCCAGUCAACACUCGUUGGAUCACACAGCUAGGUAAGUCUGAUGCACCCAAGUGCUCUUCUUCAUCGUGACUGCUCCCAUCGGUCUUCUCCCCAUCCAUGUUUUCAACCGUGUCCACUACUAAUAAUUCCUUUUCACAUAUAAAGGCUAGCUUCUUAUCUCUUGUAGGACACACAACAGGAUAGUGCCUAAAGCCUUUACAUUUAUAACAUUGUGGUCCUUCACUGUUGACUUGCUUUUUCUUUCUGGUCUCCACUCACUGCACCUCUAGGUUGAUCUUUCAACAAUGGAGGCCUUUGGAAUGAGGGUGUGGUGACAUGCUCGGGCCUUAAAUCUGUCGACGUCAUUUUCCUUCCAACCGAAGGCACUAAUUGUUUCUCAAUACGGAGCGCCAAUUGAUAAGCUUCUUCCACAUUGAUUAAACGAGCAGUCCACAUUUCUUUGUGUAUCUCACUGCAUAGUUCGGUGCGGUAUCGGGCUAAAGUCUGCUGCUCAGUCUCCACGAUCUUGCUACGGACAGUCAAUUCAUGGAAGCGAUCCGUAAAUUGAUCAACACUCAAUGACCCCCGCUUGAGUUGCAACGUCUCCUCAAACAUCAUUUGUUCAUAAUCAACGGGCAAAUACUUUUCCUUCAGUCACUCCUUCAUCUCUUCCCAAUUAAAAACUGCUGGUCGUUGUGUACGGUGUAAUUGUUCUUCCACACUUCCCCACCAUGCUCAUGCAUGCCCCUUCAAUUUCGUCCGAACAUAACGAACCUUUCUAUCCUCCAAUACGGCAAACCAAUCGAAAUAAUCUUCGAUAGCCGUUAGCCAGUCCUCAAAGCGUUGGGCUCUAAUUUUCCAAAAAAAAUCUGGCACAUCAACCUUCAUUCUCUUGGUCAGUUCAUCCAAAGUUUGAUAACCUGUACCAUGACCAGCACGCACUGGGGAAAAUUUUGCCUAUGACGUCGGAUAUGAGGCUCAUGGUCUUCAACCUCCCGGCUUUCUUCUUCCCAUUCCUCUUCAUCAGCAUCUCCCUCAAUUUCGUCUAGCUCUCCCCCACGAGCUGCUCUGCGCUCCAUUCAGUUGAAAGGUCCAUGCUCUUUUCGAACAUAAUGUCCCUCCAUGACAUCUAGUCGAUGAGUGAGCUGCUCCAACACUGUGGUGAUCUGAUUGAUUUGGUGCUGCAACUGGGGCUGGUCUAUUUUUUGAGUGAUUGGAUGUUGGUCGUUUUUAUCUUGGUUGUUUGACACACCGAAGUACCACUGCGGGAUAUGGGCAUGGAUCUUGGUUGCUCUGAUACCAAAAAUUGGUGCCAACUACUGGACCAACCUCACGUUAAUACCAGCAGCAAGAUAACUACAGAAUCUCUCUGUACCUUUGGAAUCACUCUAGAAAAUUUCAGAUGUGUUGAAUGGCUAAAAACUGCCUUCAUUAUUAUGUUAUUCCUCCUUAAAUAACAAACCAAUAUUACAAUCUCCAUCCCCCAACUAGGAAAGCAAUAAAUCAGAAAGACUAAACUAUGAAAGCAAUAAACUUGGAGAGAAUUAAACAGAAUAAAAAGAACAGAAUUGCAACAAAUAUGCAAUCUCCUAAAAAUCCUCUGCAUGGUUUACAGAAUUAUGGGUGAUUGCGGAAUUACGGCGCAUCUUUCUCCUGAUUUGCAUCACAAAGGUAAAAGCUCUCUCACCACACCCUUCUCCUAUCACCGAGACAGCACAACCCUCAACUUCAUGAGGAGUAUUGAAAGGCCUUCCUUUUCUAUGAGCUUUACAACAAAAUUAGAAAGUGAUUUAUUGGGUGGGAAACCAGACAUUUAUCUCUUGGAGGGAGACUAACAUUACUUAUUGCAUUUGCUGCUCCACGCCUUUACACUAGCUUCAAAUCAUUAAACCACUAAUUUGUGUGCAAAGCAGAUUAAGACAACUUUUUAAUGGAUUCUUGUCGGGAAAAUUAUGUUAUUGUUUUAUUCUAUGAUGAUUUUCAUUCCUAGAUAAGGAUAUCUACCUACUAUACACAAUCUCUUGUGUUAUAAAAAGGCAUUGUAAGAUGUUCAUUCGAUCAAUGAAAAUUAUACUUCAUUCACAAAAUUAUACUGUCUAAAAUUCUAACAUGGUAUCAGAGCAUCGGGAAUGACCAAUCCGUGACAGCAAGUGCACCGGCUGGAAUUAAAGAAAUUGGGUUGCUGAAUUAAUAAAAUCGGUUGCCAGAAUUGGGGGCCGGAAUUGGAAUACAAAGUGGGCAGCAUUUUGGAUAGAAAAAGGCAGAGGCUGUUGGUUAUAAUUUGAAGUGGAAUAAAAUAAAAAUUGGAGGCCAAAGAAGAGGAAUCUAUACAUACAAAAACGGCUGCCUGGGAAAGAAUUGAGAAUCAUAUAUACAUACCAACAGAAAGGCGGUAGCUUUUGCUGGGGCUGAAUUGAAUAUAUUGGACACACAGAAAAUGAUAGAUUGAGUAGGCUGGAAAUUGAACUGCGUAAUUAACAAAGUCGGUGGCUGCUAGGGAGUGAAUUAGUGGGAUGCAAAGUUGACUUGUAUACAUAUAUAAUUCCCACAGAAAAUCGAAGCAAGGAAGGAAUUGGAACUAAACAGGUGGCGGCUGCAAGAUAUGGGCUGUGUCAUCGUCGAUCAAAGUUCCUCCACCGUGAGUGUCGCCCCGGGUCUCUCUACCAAGCAAUACAACCAAUUAUUGGAGCCAUUAAAACCCACUUCCAUGGCAUUUGCAGGUGAGUCCCGCCCUCCAUCCAAAUUUUCCCCCAAUUCUCCUUCCAAUUUUUCCUAAAUGCCGUCCCCCUGGGUAAUAGAUAGUGGUGCCACGCAUCAUAUUGCAUCUUCACCCCUCACCAAUUUAAAAUCAUCUACUUGCCCACCUUUUGUUUCUUUACCUAUAGGCUACAUGUGCACAUGCCCCCAUUUCUUCUAUAGGUGAUUUCCCUUAAUCCCUUUAACUCUCCCUAAUGUUUUGUCGGUUCAUGAUUUUAAAUUUAAUAUAUUAUCUGUCAGUCAACUAAUGAAAUCUCUUAAUUUUGCAGUGACCUUUUUCCCCACUUUCUGUGUCUCUCACAACCUAACCACGAAGAUGCUAAUUGGCGUGGGUGAAGAGCGUAAUGGAUUAUACUACUUCAAGCAUGCCCCAGCCACCACUUUCCAAGCAUCUAGCCCUAUCUCUUUUGACACAUGGCAUCACUGUUUGGGUAAUCCCUCAUUACAAAAUAUUCUUUUUUUGAUUCCUCGUCCUCAACAUAUUGCUCAUUGUGACAUGUACUUGUGGAAAAGAUACUUGAUUACCUUUUCAAUCAAUUCCUAAUAAAAGUUUGAUGCCUUUUGAUCGCAUUUUUAGUAACAUUUGGGGUGGCUAUCACACUGCCUCUCUUACAGGUGUGCAUUAUUUUUUUGACCAUAGUGGAUAAAUACAGUUGGGCCACAUGGAUGUACUUAAUGUGUUUCAAAUCUAAAACCUUGGCUUCUAUCCGUGCAUUCUUUUCUAUGAUCCAUAACCAAUUUAAUUCUAAGAUUCGUCACAUACGCAUCAAUAAUGGUCAAGAAUUCCUUGCUUGUACUACUCAGGAUUUUUUCUCUGAGCAAGAUACUAUUCAUGAACGUACUUUCAUGGAAACACCACAAUAGAAUGAUAUUGCUGAGCGCAAACAUCGUCACAUAUUAAAUGUAGUUCGAUUUCUACGCUUUCCAGCAAACCUUCCUCUCUCCUUUUGGGGUGAAUGCGUUCUCAUAGCCACAUAUCUUAUCAAUUGUAUUCCAUCAUCCUCUCUCCAACAUAUUUCUCCCUUUAAGCGCCUUUAUCACACCCCACCUUGUUAUGAUCAUUUACGGGUGUUCGGUUGCCUAUGCUAUACCCAUACCCCUUCUGCUCAUCGUGAUAAGUUCCAAUCUCGUGCUUGUCCCUGUGUCUUCUUAGGAUAUCCACCUUCUCAUAGUGCAUACUGAGUUUAUGACUUAGAGGACAAGAAAAUUGUCAUAUCUAGGGACAUAGUUUUAUCGAACAUGUUUUUCCCUUCAAAAUACAACCCAAACCUUCCUCGUUACCCCUAAUCUUGCCUCUUCCUGUCACUGAUCAUUCUCUUUUGCUAGCACCAUCCCUCCCCUUUCGCCAGCAUCAUCCCUUCCUCUUCCACCAUCUGAGUCCUCUUCUCUCCCUACUCGCCCUUGACGUACCAUACAACGUCCUCCUCAUCUAGCUGACUAUAUUUGCCCUACGCUACCAUCGUUUUCUUCCGUAACGACUCCCACUGACCUUGAUGCAUCUUCAGGUAUGGCUCAUCCCUUAUCUCAUUUUGUUUUAUAUCAUAAAUUUUUCCCUGACCAUUUCGCCUUUCUGUCUGCUUUAUCGAAAUUCUCUGAUCCUACUUGAUAUUCUCAAGCUGUCCAGCAUUCCCAUUGGCGUGAUGCGAUGUAGACUGAGAUUCAAGCCCUUGAAACUAAUAAUACUUGGACUCUUACACCCCUUCCUCCUGACAAGAAACCUAUUGGUUGUAAGUGGGUCUUUAAAACAAAGCUCCAUGCAAAUAGUUCAUUGAACGACAUAACGCUCGGUUGGUGGCUAAGGUUUACACUCAGGUAGAGGGUCUUAAUUAUCAUGACACUUUUGCUCCAGUGUCUAAACUUAUUAUUGUUCAUUGUAUCUUAGCUAUUGAACAGCCUACAAUUGGCAUCUUCACCAACUUGAAGUUGAUAAUGCAUUUCCUUAUGGUGAUUUGGAAGAUGAUGUCUAUAUGAUGCUCCUUCCCAGGUAUGGUCAACAGGGGGAGACUCGUGUUUGCCGUUUACUUAAGUCUCUCUAUGGUCUUAAGCAGGCCUCUUGGAAUUGGUACUCAAAGCUUUCCUCUGUCUUAUUAUUUGAUGGUUUUACACAAUCUGCUGUGACCACUCACUUUUUACUCGGACUAUUGGCUCAUCUCAAACUGUGGUUCUAGUUUAUGUUGAUGACAUUUUGGUUGCAGGCAAUGAUCUCUCAGCCAUAACUGUUCUAAAAAAAUCCCUUGAUAAACAUUUUAAAAUCAAGGAUUUGGGUAAAAUAAAAUAUUUCCUUGGUCUUGAAGUCGCCCGAUCUUUGUCUGGAAUUUUUGUCAACCAAAGAAAGCAUACAUUGGACAUUCUUGCAGAUUCUGGCAAUUCAGGAUCCCAGCCAGCUUCUUCUCCUAUGGAGCAAAAUUUGAAACUUACUUCUGAUGAUGGUGAUUUGCUUUCUGACCCUAGCAUAUAUCGUCGGUUGGUGGGUCGCCUUCUAUAUCUCACUAUCACUCAUCCAAAUAUCUCCUUCUCCGUCAACAUGUUGAGCCAAUUCAUUCAAAGUCCUCGAGAACCUCAUUAUCGAGCUGCUCUCCAUGUUCUACGGUAUUUGAAGAGCACUCCAGCCCAUGAUCAUUUUUAUUCUACUCAGUGUGAUUUUUGGCUUACUGCAUACUCUGAUUUUGAUUGGGCGAGUUGUCCUACCACUAGUCGUUCCACCACUAGUUUUUUUAUCACACUUGGAACCAGUCCUAUCUUUUGGCGCAUGAAGAAACAAUCAAUUGUUUCUUGCUCCUCUGUCGAAGCUGAGUACCGUGCAAUGGCUACAACCACAUGUGAACUUGUCUGGCUCAAGUCUCUUUUACAUGACCUUGCUGUUUUACACCUACAACAUAUCAUGCUUUUUUGUGACAAUGAGGCUGCUCUCCACAUAUCUCGUAACCUUGUAUUUCAUGAACGAACCAAGUAUAUUGAAAUCGAUUGUCACUAUAUUCGUGAAAAAUAUCUUUCUGGACUCAUUGUUCCCACUCACGUCUGCUAAGGACCAAUUGGCUGACGUUUUCACAAAAGCUCACAACAAGGAUCUUUUCCAUCAUUUCACUCACAAGUUGGGGAUUACGGAUCUCCAUACUCCAACUUGAGGGAGAGUAUUAAAUACUUGCACAUUUAGAUUUCCUUGUUAGUUAUAUUGCUUUUAUUCUAUGAUGAUUUUCAUUCCUAGAAUAGGACAUCUACCUAUUAUACACAAUCUCUUGUGCUAUAAAAAGGCAUUGUAACACGUUCAUUCAAUCAAUGAAAAUUAUACUUCAUUCACAAAAUUAUACUUUGAAAAAUUCAAACAGAAACUAUGGUGAAGAUUUCGAUCAGCUCCAAGGAAGAAAUAUGUUGCUUGGAAAUUGGGAAGACAAAAUAUCUUAUUGGUAUGACCACUAGCUGGGAGAUAGGACUCUAGCAGUAUCCGUUCAGAAGAAGAAGCACAAGAUUACUAACGGCUCAACUUCCACCAGUAGUAGUAAACUCAAUACUAUAAAUUCCGAUUUUCCCUGGGCAGCCGGCUACCAUUUUUUGGAAAAAUAAUGGUGAUUUCACAUGCUCGUCCUGAUGGGAAGCAAUUCCUACAAGCUCUUAUUGCAUUCUGCCAUUCCACACACACACACACUUUCUCUCUCUCUCUCUCUUGUUGUAGAAUUUGGCACAAUUUGGCUCUAUGUUACUGUGACGCAAAUAUUCCAGGUAUGAGUGCUGGAAGAAGAGCCGUGCUGGAAGAAGAGACAAGAUCUGAGUCUACCUAGCUUGUUGGGACGUUGGUGGCCAACACCGUUGGGAUAAUGGGAUUGAUUAUGUUUUUGUUUUGUUAUUAUCCAUUUGUUUAUUUUAAUAUUAUCUUUAUGCAAUCAAAAUAAAUUGUUGGGUAGGAUGAAUCCUUAGUUUGAGUUGGUUUUUUUUGAAGCGUGUUGCUUCAGGGAGAGACUCCCAACAAUCUUCCAUUUCAGGUUUUUUUGUCCAGCAAUAAAGUCUUUACAUUCAGCUUUGUUUGGUUGGCAGAACCUGGUGGUUCCUUGGAGUGAUUCCAAGCCCCAUUUCCAUUAUUCAUUCCAUCAAUUAAAAUAAACUCUUUGCUUCAAAAAUCUGUGCUUUAUUUAAAUUCUUUUCUACAAUUUUCUGUUGCUAUCAGAGUCGGCCCUUGGUCCAAGCCACUCUCAUUUUGGCUUGGGCCCAGGGCUCAAAAUCCAUAUUAGUUUCAAAAUAGAAAAAGGGUUUGGGGCCUUUUGGCUUGGAGUCUUGGACUAAUGGACUGUAAUUUCCUCUGGAGUCUGCACUAUAUUGUGUACUGAUCUUUUUUUCUUUUCAACUCGACUUCCUCUCAGCUUCCAAAAUUCUCCAGCGAUCAGCGCAAAGUGACGAAAAUUUGAAAUCUACUGCGAAACCCCAAUCUCUCCGCUUCUCGUAGACUCGCAUGCCGAAUUCCAUUUUAUAUCUUCUGAGGUCUUUUUCUCCUCUCUGUGCGCCGCCAUUAAUUGCUCUAUUUAACUGUUAAGUUCAUGAGGAGGUGGACUUGCAAGUCUUGCAUUUUCAUCCACCAAAUUACUGAAAGAGGACUUGGAUUUAUUUAUUUGUAUUUUUUAUUUUUGUUCUUUUUUCUAACUUUCUAUGUGCUGAAUCUGCUGAUUGGUACAUUUUAUUCUCUUUUCGGAUCAUCAUUUUCGUAAGUAAAAUGGUUUAAUAGAUGUCUCUGCUUUGCUUGAUUACUUCCAUUUCAUCCCAAAUCACUGAAAUCAGCGCGAACCGUAGGUUUUUGACAUUUUGUUCUCCAAAUCAAUUUCUGCAAUUGGGAAAUGGAAAGUUGCAUCCUCGUCGUAGUAUUUUCCAACAAGGAGUCUCUCAUUUGAAAUUGACAUUUGAAGAACAAUUAUGGUUGGUUUAGCUGGUAUCUGGAAGUUGUAGGGAACACAUGUUCUUGAUGCCCAUUUUUGAAUUGUAGUGGUCCUUUUUUUUUUUUUUUUUUUUUUUGGCAUAUUGUUACUUGUUAGCGUAAAGAAGUAGGGAUAUAGGUGUGGGGAUGUUAGGAUGUUGGUGUAUUGUUAGUGUGGAGAUGUACUGAUGUAGAGUUUGUUCUAGUUUAUAAAUUCCAGUUUGUAAUUGAAUGGCGAAAUAGGAAUUCCAGUUUAUGAUUGGGCAGUUUGUUGGUGUACUGUUAUGUGAAGGUUUGAUUUAUGGAGUUUCGUUGUUUGAAUUGACAGUGUAGUUUAUGACUGCUGUGAAGUGUGAACUUAUUGCAGGUUAUUUUUCCUAAUUUUUGAACUGGCUAUGAAAAUCAUAAGCAGUGUUAACCAAUGAUGCACUUCAAGUUUUCAAGAAACAAUGCAUUUCUUCAUCAUUUAUGUUGGUAUUGCUCGGGUGUAGUUUAAAUGUUAUUUGGUCAUUUCUUGCAGGUUGAUUGUUGAACUCCUUCUGUUAUGACCCACUCACUCAUAGUCAAAGUCAAGAAAAUUAUUUACUCAAAGUCCAAAAUUCAAUUGGUCAAAGUCAAUCUCAAAUAGAGAUUUAAAUGAAAUAAAUUAUUUUAUUGGGGUUUAAUUUAUUAUGAAAAAUAGUUAAAGGUUUGAAAUGGAUAAAACUUAAUUUUAGGGAUCUACUUAUAUAUUAUUGGAAGUAAAGGACUAGAUGUUAUAUUAAAUUGAAGAAUAAGGACUUUCUUUGCAAAAAUGAGUUAGUGGAGUCCAAAAUGUCCAAAUAUUAAUCCCAUUGCCUUGACUCUUCAUUUGCAUACAUAUGUAUAGAAGAAUUGGAGACGGCAGGGAAGAAGAUCCGAGAGAAAGGAAGAAAAAGAGAAAGAAAAGAAGGAAAAAAAAAAAAAGAGGAAGAAGAAAGAAGAAAAAAUAGAAAAUUUUUGCCAAGUUGUUAGAAAAUAAGUGGUCUACACUAUCAGGCUUGAAUUCCUCAAUUUUGAAAGGUAAGUAAAAAAUUACUUAUUGUUAAGUUAUAUUUGAUUUUAUAGUUGUUAUAUUAUUAGACUAAAUUCAAUUUUAUUGAAGGAGUUAAGUAUGAUAAACUAUGAAAUUGAGUAAAGUGAAAGAAAAACUAGUUUUAGUGAUCAAAGAGACUGUAAAAAUUGCUUAAACGUGAAAUGAUUAAGUUUGGGUAUUGCUUAUUUAAUUAUUGAAAUUAUUUAAAAUAAUUGAUUGUUUAUUUAAAAAUUAUAUCGCAUUUCAGGCGACGAUAUUAACAUCAGUACAACUUAUCAACCGGAUUGAUUUUGCGAAUAUAGUACUGCGAGUGGAAAAAUAUAAAUAUUUUUAAAGUAUUUAUAAAUUAAGUUUAUUGUUAAAGUAUGUGCAAUUAUAUGCAAUUAUGUGUUCGAAUUAUAGGGUUAUUAUGGAAAUAUCUUUUAUUAUGAUACAUGUGAGAUUUCAAAGAUUGUAUACAGUACAUUGUGAAUUGGGAUAUGAGAUAUGAUUUUGAGAUCGGGCUGAAAAGUACCCGUGAUUAUAUAUUUCUUCUAGUUCACUGAGGAGUCUUAGCCCUAUACUACACUGAGGGGUCUUGGACCGGGGAUGAAGGGGUCUCGAUCGUGUACAUAUAGUUCACUGAGGGGUCUUGACCGUAUUCUAGAGUUGAUUAUGAGAGGUCUUUGAAACCGACUUUCGUUCACGAAGGGGUCAAAGACCCGUAACGAAAGUUCUUAGCUCGAGGGGCGGAUUAUAUAUUUCAGUCAGAGGGUAUAUUUUUGGUGGAUUUUUCAGCACGUUUGAUGUAAUGAGAUUAUAGCAUGGUUAUCAGCUGAUGUUUAUAUCAUGAUUUUGAGAUGAUAUUUUACGACCUUAUGUGAAUAUUUCACUUUUGGUUAUAAUUACAUGAUUUUAUCUUGUGAAUUAUUAAACGACAUGAACUCGAUUUUUGAUAGAAAUGUAAAAUUGAAAAAGUAUAAUUAUUUUCGAACUUCUCCACUCACUGAGCUAUCAACUCAUAUAUUUUUUCACGAUUUUUCUUAUAGGUAGCAAUUGAUUCUUUUUAGUUGGAAGAGCCUAAUGAUUUUGGAAUGAAAGCCACACAAUAUGUUCAAUAUUAUAACUUAUAUUGAUGAAGCACGAAAUAAAUAUUUUGGGUCCAUCGCAUUAUGUUUUACAUAAGCAUUUGAUUUUGUUGCAUUUUUUGAAAUAACUCGUGGUCAGGCUUGGUGAUAGAUUUGACAUCUAGUCAGCAUCUAUCAUCGAGCACGUCACGUUUCGGGUCCACUAGGGUGAUUCGGGACGGGUUGUGUCACCUUCACUUGGCAUAUUUGAGAACCUGGGGUAUUUUUAAUUCAAACUCUGAAUCAGGUUCUACCGUUAUUUGCUAUAAUUAUGGUUUAAUGGAUUAGUUAUGAUUUCUAUUGAAAAAAAAUGUUGGAAAACCUUCAUUUAAGAUGUUUGACUACUAAUUUUACAUCUCAAAACAUAAGAAGAAAUAUGAUACUAGCCUAAUCUCUAAAAAGUGAGAAGACUAAUUUCUGUAAGUGAUAUUUUAUCUAGCAAUUUUAUCUUUGAGAUUGUAUAAAGAUUUCACACACACACACACACACAUGUAUAUACAUGUAUAUGUACGUAUAUUUUUUCAUUUAACUAUUGUUAUACGUGUAGAAAAACAAUGUACGGGGGCCUCAACGGGCCAACUCGCUUAGGGCCUCCGAUUUGUCAGGGCCGGCUCUGUGUUGCUUCAUACCGUCUCUUUCUCGGUAGAGCUGUUCGGGCAAUAAGCUUUGAUAGAGGAAAGGUGGUAUCCGGAUCAAAUGAUCAGCCUGUGCUUGUGUGGGAUAAGCAGACAGAUCAGCUACUAGAAGAACUAAAGGGCCACAAUUCACAGGUUUGGUUGGGGCAUUUCCUACAUUAUAUUCUUAAUUUUAUUUUCCUUUGCAUGUUGAGAAGUGCCUUUUUUGGUUUUUUUUGAUGUAUUUGUCAGUUUUUCACAAAACUUUCCGUCAGAGCUAUAAUAUGUAAAAAUUGGAAUAACUGAAAUAUAAAAGAAAAAGAAUUACAUGGCUUGCAUUGACGAAGAGGAUCAUGGAUUGAGCUUAUUAUGCUUUGAUCAAGUUUUAGAUGCAAGUUCCGGACAUAAUUAAGCAAUGUUAUCUGGGCUCAAAUAAUAUAAGGUCAAAAUAUUCUGGAAGAUUUACUCCUCAAACUUUCCGAGAUUUAAUAAGUAAUAAUGGUAGCUGUGAAGAAAGAAUACAUCUUUUAUGCAACCCAAGGCUUUCUGUUCAUAUUUGAACACUCUUUAGCCAUGUUGUAAAAGCUGUAAAAAGGUUCCACAUAGUUGUGAGGCCUUUCUAAAACUCCUUGCAUGUGGGCAAGGCGUGGAAAAAGGUGGUCAACUCCUUUUUUGAG